AUUAUUCAACAAUGAAAAUUUGCAAAAAAAAAUAACCCUUCUUUUCUUGACUUUUUAAAUCUAUCAUAAACAAUUAAAAUUGUCAAUAACCAAAUGGAGCCCACGACCGGGCUCGAACCGGCGACCUCCGCCU
Molecule: antisense RNA, 133 nt
Filed under: Caldicellulosiruptor bescii DSM 6725
Lineage: Bacteria; Bacillati; Bacillota; Caldicellulosiruptorales; Caldicellulosiruptoraceae
Description: Bacterial antisense RNA HPnc0260
Rfam family: Bacterial antisense RNA HPnc0260
Source: Rfam by way of RNAcentral